GAUGAACGCUGACAGAAUGCUUAACACAUGCAAGUCAACUUGAACUUCGGUUUGGGUGGCGGACGGGUGAGUAACGCGUACAGAACUUGCCUCACAGCUAGGGACAACAUUUGGAAACGAAUGCUAAUACCUGAUAUUAUGAUUUUAGGGCAUCCUAGAAUUAUGAAAGCUAUAUGCGCUGUGAGAGAGCUUUGCGUCCCAUUAGCUAGUUGGAGAGGUAACGGCUCACCAAGGCGAUGAUGGGUAGCCGGCCUGAGAGGGUGAACGGCCACAAGGGGACUGAGACACGGCCCUUACUCCUACGGGAGGCAGCAGUGGGGAAUAUUGGACAAUGGACCAAGAGUCUGAUCCAGCAAUUCUGUGUGCACGAUGAAGUUUUUCGGAAUGUAAAGUGCUUUCAGUUGGGAAGAAAAAAAUGACGGUACCAACAGAAGAAGUGACGGCUAAAUACGUG
This 454-nucleotide ribosomal RNA is filed under the name uncultured bacterium. RNAcentral describes it as "partial 16S ribosomal RNA". It matches the Rfam family "Bacterial small subunit ribosomal RNA", at positions 28 to 507 of the family's 1533-position model. The record is from RNAcentral.